UACGUAGGGGGCAAGCGUUGUCCGGAAUCAUUGGGCGUAAAGCGCGCGUAGGCGGCCCGGUAAGUCCGCUGUAAAAGUCCAGGGCUCAACCCUGGAAGGCCGGUGGAUACUGUCGGGCUAGAGUCCGGAAGAGGCGAGUGGAAUCCUGGUGUAGCGGUGGUGAAUGCGCAGAUAUCAGGAGGAACACCGAUGGCGAAGGCAGCUCGCUGGGACGGUACUGACGCUGAGGCGACGAAGCGUGGGGAGCGAACAGG
RNAcentral lists this ribosomal RNA (254 nucleotides) under uncultured bacterium. Its description in RNAcentral is "partial 16S ribosomal RNA". It matches the Rfam family "Bacterial small subunit ribosomal RNA", at positions 524 to 776 of the family's 1533-position model. The record is from RNAcentral.